CUCCUGAUAUUCUUUAAUCGAGCUUGUUUAUCACGUCUGUUGACGUGAGUAGUUAGUUUUUAUAUUUGCAAUUCAGUCUUUAAUACCCUUCUCUCCUUUUCUUCUAGUAUCGACCAAUUUCUCGCUUGCUCUCUUUGUGGCUGUUCAAAUUUUUCUGAAAACAUGUCUUCCGAAGUUUCUGCCAUUGGUUUCGAAGGUUUUGAAAAGAGGCUGGAAAUAUCGUUUUUCGAGCCAAGUUUCUUUGCUGACCCUGAAGGAAAGGGUUUACGUGUCCUUUCCAAAAACCAACUCGAUGAGUUUUUAGGACCUGCUGAAUGCACUAUCGUUGCGUCAUUGUCCAAUGAGCAUGUUGACUCCUACGUUCUCUCUGAGUCUAGCCUAUUUGUUUAUGCUUACAAGAUAAUCAUAAAAACUUGCGG
This 419-nucleotide long non-coding RNA is filed under the name Daucus carota (carrot). RNAcentral describes it as "long non-coding RNA (DCAR_LNC005903)". The record is from RNAcentral. Lineage: Eukaryota; Viridiplantae; Streptophyta; Magnoliopsida; Apiales; Apiaceae.